CUUUAUUGGAGAGUUUGAUCCUGGCUCAGGAUGAACGCUGGCGGCGUGCCUAAUACAUGCAAGUCGAGCGAACGGAUUAAGAGCUUGCUCUUAUGAAGUUAGCGGCGGACGGGUGAGUAACACGUGGGUAACCUGCCCAUAAGAC
This 145-nucleotide ribosomal RNA is filed under the name Bacillus sp. 166amftsu. RNAcentral's name for it is "16S rRNA. Bacterial SSU". It matches the Rfam family "Bacterial small subunit ribosomal RNA", at positions 1 to 138 of the family's 1533-position model. The record is from RNAcentral. Lineage: Bacteria; Bacillati; Bacillota; Bacilli; Caryophanales; Bacillaceae.